Manihot esculenta (cassava) is the source of this 2823-nucleotide RNA transcript. It is a transcript of the gene named vesicle-fusing ATPase, with no coding region annotated. NCBI's taxonomy places the organism in Eukaryota, Viridiplantae, Streptophyta, Magnoliopsida, Malpighiales, Euphorbiaceae. The record is from RefSeq and is a predicted model, not a curated record. The transcript is spliced from 21 exons.
AAAUCGAUUAGCAAUCAGAAGAACGACGUGUCGUCGUGGUCAGAAGUUGAUCCAUUGAACGGUUUGUCGUUUGGGUUCAACCAGUUAAUAGUCCCUUCCCCAUCCCAGUCCCUGGAUUUCGAAGUCCCUGGCUGUAAAUGAAAAUCACAGCAUCCCAGCAUCCCUUGAUUCGUUACCUAACUACUAAGAUAUCAUUGCCUUAAAAUCCCUCUGUUCUUUUUCGCUCUUUUCUCUGCAAAAGAACUCAAACAGAUCAUAGAAAAGGAAAAUACAAGAGCAAAAUGGCGGGACGGUUUGGUUCUGCACCGUCGACGAUGAUCGUGACCAAUACUCCGGCGGCCGAUCUCGCCCUCACUAACCUUGCCUACUGCUCCGCGUCUGAUCUACACAACUUCGCUGUCCCUGGAACCAAGUUCUUCAUGGCGUUAAUCGGCGACUACUUUGUUCUAUCUCUUUCUCCUCACGAAAACAUUCGUCCGGGUCAUAUUGCCCUGAAUGCAAUUCAACGUCGGCAUGCAAGAGUUUCUACUGGAGACUCCAUUUCUGUGAGCAGGUUUAUCCCUCCUGAAGAUUUUAACCUUGCAUUGCUGACACUUGAGUUAGAAUUUGUGAAGAAGGGCACUAAGAGCGAACAGGUAGAUGCUGUUUUAGUGGCUAACCAACUCAGAAAGAGAUUUAUUAACCAGGUUAUGACAACUGGGCAAAGAGUAUCGUUUGAGUAUCAUGGGAACAAUUAUAUUUUUACAGUCAAUCAAGCUGUUGUAGAGGGCCGAGAGAAAUCUAAUGAUUUUGAAAGAGGGAUGAUUUCAAGUGACACCUACUUCGUCUUUGAAGCGUCAAAUUCAAGUGGCAUAAAGAUUGUUAAUCAACGUGAAGCGGCCAGUAGCAACAUCUUUAGGCAUAAGGAGUUUAAUCUUCAGUCACUGGGUAUAGGUGGCUUAAGUGCUGAGUUUGCAGAUAUAUUUCGAAGAGCUUUUGCCUCUCGAGUUUUUCCACCACAUGUGACAAGCAAAUUGGGGAUUAAACACGUAAAAGGAAUGCUGCUUUAUGGGCCUCCUGGUACUGGGAAAACUCUCAUGGCUCGUCAAAUUGGGAAAAUGUUGAACGGGAGAGAACCGAAGAUUGUUAAUGGUCCUGAAGUUCUGAGCAAAUUUGUUGGUGAAACUGAAAAGAAUGUUAGAGACCUGUUUGCUGAUGCUGAAAAUGAUCAGAGGACACGGGGGGACCAAAGUGAUUUGCAUGUAAUAAUAUUUGAUGAGAUUGAUGCUAUAUGUAAGUCAAGAGGAUCAACAAGAGAUGGCACAGGAGUUCAUGAUAGUAUUGUGAACCAGCUACUUACAAAGAUAGACGGUGUGGAGUCUCUAAAUAAUGUUUUACUCAUUGGAAUGACCAACAGAAAAGAUUUGCUUGAUGAAGCACUUUUGAGACCGGGACGCUUGGAGGUUCAAGUUGAAAUAAGCCUUCCUGAUGAAAAUGGUCGUUUGCAAAUUCUUCAAAUUCAUACAAACAAGAUGAAGGAGAAUUCUUUUCUAGCUCCCGAUGUGAACCUUCAAGAGCUUGCUGCUCGGACCAAAAAUUACAGUGGGGCAGAACUUGAAGGUGUUGUAAAAAGUGCAGUAUCAUUUGCGUUGAAUAGACAACUAAGUAUGGAUGAUCUAACCAAGCCAGUAGACGAAGAGAGUAUCAAAGUUACAAUGGAUGAUUUCCUGCAUGCACUCCAGGAAAUUAUUCCUGCAUUUGGGGCCUCCACUGAUGAUCUUGAGCGAUGCAGACUUAAUGGCAUGGUGGAAUGUGGCAAUCGACAUGACCAUAUUUAUCAGAGAGCUAGGCUCCUGGUGGAGCAAGUUAAAGUUAGUAAAGGAAGUCCACUCGUCACUUGUCUUCUGGAAGGCCCAAGUGGCAGUGGUAAAACUGCUUUGGCAGCUACUGUUGGCAUUGACAGUGAUUUUCCAUAUGUCAAGAUAGUCUCAGCUGAAUCAAUGAUUGGCCUUCAUGAGAGCACUAAAUGUGCACAGAUUGUUAAGGUGUUUGAGGAUGCAUACAAGUCACCACUAAGCAUUAUAAUUCUGGAUGACAUUGAGAGACUGCUGGAGUAUGUUGCUAUUGGGCCACGUUUUUCAAAUUUGAUUUCUCAGACAUUGUUGGUUCUCCUUAAACGUCUUCCUCCAAAGGUUACUUUGUCUCUUGCUUUUUUUUGCUACAACUUGGAGAAUGGGAAAGAAACUUAUGGUGAUAGGGACAACAAGUGAAGUUAGCUUUUUGGAUUCAAUUGGCAUUUGUGAUGCUUUCUCUGUCACUUACCAUGUUCCCACAUUGAAGGCAGAAGAUGCAAAGAAGGUAUUGCGGCAACUUAAUGUUUUUCAUGAAGAUGAUGUUGAUGCAGCUGCUGAAGCACUUAAUGACAUGCCGAUCAAGAAGCUAUAUAUGUUGAUUGAGAUGGCAGCCCAAGGUGAGCAAGGAGGAGCUGCAGAAGCAAUCUACUCUGGCAAACAAAAGAUCAAGAUUGCUCAUUUUUACGAUUGCCUUCAAGAUGUUGUGCGAUACUAAAUUAAUUCACCUUUCCUAUUGCCUUACCUGCUGCAGCCUUCCCUCCUCUCUCUCUCCCUCUUUCUUUUUUUCUUUUCUUUUCUUUUCUUUUUUUUCUUGUGCGGGAUUUUUUUUCAUAUUCCCCAAUUUGCAUAUGUUAUUACCCAUGUUUUGAGGCAUUAAAGUUUGAAUUAGGCUUGUGAAGUUUCAUGGGUAUUUGAAAGUAGAGAAGAAUUUGAAAUAUUUGGUUAAAUUUAACCUCUACUUGGAAUUUUUGCAAGAAUUUAGUUUCAUUGA